Molecule: unclassified non-coding RNA, 307 nt
Filed under: plant metagenome
Description: partial contains 5.8S ribosomal RNA, internal transcribed spacer 2, and large subunit ribosomal RNA
Rfam family: 5.8S ribosomal RNA (bases 1-105)
Source: RNAcentral
GAGAUGCGAUAAGUAGUGUGAAUUGCAGAAUUCAGUGAAUCAUCGAAUCUUUGAACGCACAUUGUGCCCCUCGGUAUUCCGUGGGGCAUGCCUGUUCGAGCGUCAUCUACACCCUCAAGCUCUGCUUGGUGUUGGGCGUCUGUCCCGCCUCCGCGCGCGGACUCGCCCCAAAUGCAUUGGCAGCGGUUCCUUGCCCCCCUCUUUGCGCAGCACAUUGCCAUUCGAGGCGGCGGCGGCCCGCGUCCAACAAGCUCAACCCCCCCGUCUUUGACCUCGGAUCAGGUAGGGAUACCCGCUGAACUUAAGC